Molecule: non-coding RNA, 28 nt
Filed under: Mus musculus (house mouse)
Lineage: Eukaryota; Metazoa; Chordata; Mammalia; Rodentia; Muridae
Source: RNAcentral
UAACACACCAGUGCCUGAAGGUGGAGAA